UACGAAGGGGGCUAGCGUUGCUCGGAAUCACUGGGCGUAAAGGGUGCGUAGGCGGCCAGGUAGGUCUGCUGUGAAAACUCGAGGCUCAACCUCGAGAUGUCGGCGGAAACCAUCUGGCUAGAGUCCGGAAGAGGAGAGUGGAAUUCCUGGUGUAGCGGUGAAAUGCGCAGAUAUCAGGAAGAACACCCGUGGCUAAGGCGGCUCUCUAGUACGGUACUGACGCUGAGACGCGAAAGCGUGGGGAGCGAACAGG
RNAcentral lists this ribosomal RNA (253 nucleotides) under uncultured bacterium. RNAcentral describes it as "partial 16S ribosomal RNA". It matches the Rfam family "Bacterial small subunit ribosomal RNA", at positions 524 to 776 of the family's 1533-position model. The record is from RNAcentral.